Non-coding RNA from Russula vinacea, 80 nucleotides. The record is from the annotation of a GenBank genome assembly. NCBI's taxonomy places the organism in Eukaryota, Fungi, Basidiomycota, Agaricomycetes, Russulales, Russulaceae.
GCACUGGUGGGGUAGCGGUAACCUUGUUCAUUCCCAUUCAAUGAGAUGAACAGCCCCGGGUUCGACUCCCGGCUAGCGCA